This 93-nucleotide microRNA precursor is filed under the name Athene cunicularia (burrowing owl). RNAcentral describes it as "miRNA (ENSACUG00000001218.1)". The stretch from base 10 to 84 matches the Rfam family "mir-1677 microRNA precursor family". The record is from RNAcentral. Lineage: Eukaryota; Metazoa; Chordata; Aves; Strigiformes; Strigidae.
UGUGUUGCUUAGGGUCUGAUCCUGCACCGCUGAAGUCAAUGGAAGUUUUGUCAUUGACUUCAAUAGGAGCAGGAUUUGAACCUUAUGCUCUAU